UCCGGAUUGGUGUAGGGGUUAACAUUGCCGCCUCUCACUGCGUCCUUUAGACAUGUGAUGAAUCGCGGCAGCCCGGGGUUCGAUUCCCCGAUCCGGAA
Mycena albidolilacea is the source of this 98-nucleotide non-coding RNA. The record is from the annotation of a GenBank genome assembly. Lineage: Eukaryota; Fungi; Basidiomycota; Agaricomycetes; Agaricales; Mycenaceae.